CUGAUGUCAAUUACAGACGUCUGAAAGCUCUCUGAGGUCCGUUGCUUAUAGCCUACUUCAAAGUCGAGACAGAAUAAGGCCACGAUCACUCCCAGCGUUUUAUUCUGUGAUGUAAUUGGACUUCCCUUGGGCAAUGACUCCAAAGGUUGGGCUCAGCGGUAUUUUAUCAAAGUUUGAAGGCCAGUGUUUAUGGGCUAAUAAAUGUGUUUCAAAGAAUGGUUGGGCGGUCAGAUUUAUGAAUGUUCUAGGAGGCAGGGAGGGGUAGAGGGAUGAAAUACACCUGGACUAAAGACACACUCUCACAGUAGUCAGGACCUCAGGAGGAAGGGGAGCUUUCCACAGUACAGUUUUGCCAUUCCACACCGUGACCCACAGACAGCAGCCAUGUCUUCCGGAGCAGCCCCUACAGUAGAAUCUGAUGCUGACUUUUACUAUGACUAUGAGAAUCUGCGCAUUGGAGGCCUGAUCUUUGCUGGGGUCAUUGUGGUACUAUCGGUCCUCCUCCUGACAGGUAACCGCAUCAGACGGUGUGGCAAGCGUAAGUCGAAGCAUGUGGAUGAAGAAAUUUAAGAUGGCUCAUUUCUAUACUGGAUGGAUUUAAGAUGUGAACGGCCUGUAAAUUUGAAAAAAGUCAUAUUAUUAUAAACACUUACAUUUUUGAUUUAAUUGUUAAACAUUUCAUUAAAACAUUGAUUUGGAAAAACUGUUUAGGUAUGGUGUCGAAGACUAAAAAAGGAUAUAUGGAGGUUAUAUUUCACGUUUUGUUUUAUUUAUUUUUAUAUAUAUAUAUAUAUAUAUAUAUAUAUAUAUAUAUAUAUAUAUACACACACACACACACACACACACACACAUACAUACAUACAUACAUACAUACAUACAUACAUAUACAGACAGCAGAAUAGAAAGAAGAAGAUGUAAGGGAAUAAUUGACGACGGGCCACUUGAUUAUUCAAGAAAUAAUGCACACCCGAGGUGGUGAUGCAGCCAUGACGCGAAGCGGAGAUAUAUGAUAUAUUUCAAGGCAUCCAUCAGGUUUUUGUACUUAAAAUGCUCCUGUGAGUAGAAUUAAUCUCUUAAUCGCCUCAUCAUCCUUUUAGACCUAGUAACGGAGGACUUUGCGGUUGACAGCAGACUAAUGCAGCUAAUAACCAAUUUAUGAGAGAGAGAGAGAGAGAGAGAGAGAGAGAGAGAGAGAGAGAGAAUUGAAUUUAAAACAGAACUUUUUCAUAAUCAUAUUUACAAACAAUUUACCAAAUAUACUAUACAACUAUAUAUUUUACAAGGCAAAAGUUAAAUAAUUUUUAGAAAUCAUACAAAGAGCUCCAUUACAACACCAAAUCUCCUCAAAGGUAAACAAAUCAUUCAUAUCUAUCUUUAACAAAAGAAUUAACAGCUAAAAUCUCAUGAAGUAUUCUCCAUUGCAAGUAACCAAUUUUUUUUUUUUUUUUUUUUUUUUUGGAUAAUGGCGGUUUAUAUAUACUGUAAGUCUGGUUUUACACUUUAGUUUUAACCAAAGAAAAAUCUCCACGGUGUAUCUGAUUACUUAGCAAGAUUAUUCUUCUUAAAAACUAUCACAUAAAGUCUAUACAAUAUAUUUCCUUUGGUAGAUAAUAAAUCCAACCACUUCAAGUUCCACAUUAAAAACACUUUAAAUCCAUCAAAGUUUGGUAAAAGCAUUAGACAAGGGAAAAAUUAUUUUCAUCAGUCACAGACACUCCAGAAACAUAAUCUUUCAUCAUUAGGCUCUCUUCUACUGUUAAAGUAGAUUUCAAAUUCAUUAAAGAAAGAGAGACGGAUCAAGAUGGGCUCCAAGCAUGCCAACUUAUGCCACAUUGAAGAAGCGACCAGGUUAUAAAUGACAAGAAUGUGUCCUCUGUAUGACAUUCUAGAAAGCAGAAAUUUCCAUUUCUCCAAACUUCCUUUAAUUUUUUUCCACAAAUAAAAGUGUUCAACUCAAUCAAACGCUUUCUCUUGUUCCAGUGGAAUCAGUCGAAAAUCUAAAUUAAGCAAUUUUGACACUUCCAAUGCAUCAUGAAUUAGAGAAAUAUUGUCAACAAUGGAUCUGCGGGGAGCACAGUAGGAUUGCUCUAUUGUUGACACAGUUGUCUAAUGUGGACUAUACCAAUGUCCCACCACUGUUGUACUGAUUUCAAAUUAGACUUGGAUUUUCUAUAAUUCUCCCAGAAGUACUUAAAGGAAUUUCUAAAAACGCUAUCACUCAGUAAAGAAAUAUUAAAAUGCCAAUAAGCACUUCUAGGUUCAAUAGAUUUUAAAAUAAAACCACAUUGCACCAUUCUGUGAUCAGAAAAACCUACUGGGAUGAUAAAGCAAUUAUUUAAAUAUUAAGAUGAUGUUUAAAACCAUAUAAUCAGUGUAAA
This is a long non-coding RNA of Cyprinus carpio carpio, 2378 nucleotides long. NCBI's taxonomy places the organism in Eukaryota, Metazoa, Chordata, Actinopteri, Cypriniformes, Cyprinidae. The record is from Ensembl.